Molecule: ribosomal RNA, 497 nt
Filed under: uncultured bacterium
Lineage: Bacteria
Description: partial 16S ribosomal RNA
Rfam family: Bacterial small subunit ribosomal RNA
Source: RNAcentral
GAUGAACGCUGGCGGCGUGCCUAAUACAUGCAAGUCGAGCGAACAGACGAGGAGCUUACUCCUCUGACGUUAGCGGCGGACGGGUGAGUAACACGUGGAUAACCUACCUAUAAGACUGGGAUAACUUCGGGAAACCGGAGCUAAUACCGGAUAACAUGUUGAACCGCAUGGUUCAACAGUGAAAGACGGUCUUGCUGUCACUUAUAGAUGGAUCCGCGUCGCAUUAGCUAGUUGGUAAGGUAACGGCUUACCAAGGCAACGAUGCGUAGCCGACCUGAGAGGGUGAUCGGCCACACUGGAACUGAGACACGGUCCAGACUCCUACGGGAGGCAGCAGUAGGGAAUCUUCCGCAAUGGGCGAAAGCUUGACGGAGCAACGCCGCGUGAGUGAUGAAGGUCUUCGGAUCGUAAAACUCUGUUAUUAGGGAAGAACAAAUGUGUAAGUAACUAUGCACGUCUUGACGGUACCUAAUCAGAAAGCCACGGCUAACUACGUG